AGGCAGAUGGCCAUUGCUUUUCUGAACAGCAGUUGGAAGUAUUCUGAGGUCAUUGGCACUGCUGUAUCACAACAUCAUUUGCUGGCAUGUACAUCUAGGAUGCGAUCUAUCCAGAUGAGAUUCUCUCCAAUGCCAGCAAACCGACAGUGGAAGAAACGAGCCAGCACUUCUCCCCUCACAUUGCCUCAGGCU
Paramisgurnus dabryanus is the source of this 192-nucleotide long non-coding RNA. RefSeq lists it as uncharacterized. Lineage: Eukaryota; Metazoa; Chordata; Actinopteri; Cypriniformes; Cobitidae. The record is from RefSeq and is a predicted model, not a curated record.